Frieseomelitta varia is the source of this 1200-nucleotide long non-coding RNA. RefSeq lists it as uncharacterized. NCBI's taxonomy places the organism in Eukaryota, Metazoa, Arthropoda, Insecta, Hymenoptera, Apidae. The record is from RefSeq and is a predicted model, not a curated record. The transcript has 4 exons.
AAUGACGGUCAAUCUUUAAUUAAUAGUGAAGAUAAUUGAAGAUCUAACUACAAAGCAGCAUUAAAGAGAAAUUAAUAUAUAUGCAGUUUACACAAUUCUAACACGUGUCUUCACUAGAACAAUAAAAAAGUGAAUAGUCAUCGUUUGAUCAUUUUCUCCACUGUAGAUAAUUCGAGAAUUUUCUAUAGCUUAGGAAAAUGAAACCUAAGUUAAUUAAUGGGAAGAUGCGAAAGAUUAUUUAUGACACAACACGAUUCAAUAAAAUUCUCUUCCUUUACUGAUUAUGCUAAUUCUACUGGGAACUAUGACUCACGACAGAUUGAGCAGCUACGCCGUUCAUUGAUGAAUGAACACACGGAAUUAAAUAACACUACCAGUUGGUAAUUGUAAAUUCAGAAUCGUCUGGUAAAUAUUUUCUCCAAAAAUGUAUCCUCAAAAUGAUUCAACAAUGAAUGACAAUAAAUUAUACAGAAUACAUACUUUUCAAGAUGUAUGAAAUAUGGUAAAAUAUAUUUAAUGAUUUAAAAAUGUAAAUGUCAAAUGUGGAAUUAAUCUUCCAUUGAAGAAGUAUUUGAGGAUACAAGAACAUCCUUCCAUUCGAGUAAUUGAUUUUUUCAAAUUAUGUAAAAUCAAUAGAAUCUUUAAAAUUCAAAAUUAGCCUUCUUCUAAAGGCUACUACUGUAAUUUAAGUGAAGAUACGUUUUAAUUUGUUAAAUCAGUGGUGUCAAGAUAAAGUCAGAAAAACUCACCCCUCAGUCAAGUAAAUUUUCAAUCCACAAAUAAUUAAAACAAUGCUUCACUCUUGUGAAAAUUGAAUUUCAAUUUCUCAUACACGUAUCAAUACGCACCUACACACUACUAUUUUAAAUACACUAUUCUAUAGUCUUAAUUUAGUCUAGUCUUAAUUUAAUCUAUAGUCUUAAUUUAGUCUAGUUAAAUAAAAUUCCUUGGCUGUCAAAACGAUCGAUACUAAUUCUGUAUAAUUUCUAUAUUUUCUAUAUUUCCUUCCUUUCCUCGCAUAAUGCUCGCAAUAUCAACACAAGGAGACCGUUGACUUCAAAGGUGAACAGAAGGAUCGUAAUAAUAAAUAAUAUUAGGUUUCAUGGGAAAGAGAGAAUGGAAGAGGGAAAUAAACAGAAGGAGAUAAAAGGAAACUGAGUCUUUCAGAAAGCAUAGGUCAACAUAAUUCGACACCUCGUU